This 1456-nucleotide long non-coding RNA is filed under the name Equus caballus (horse). RNAcentral describes it as "lncRNA (ENSECAG00000031410.2)". Lineage: Eukaryota; Metazoa; Chordata; Mammalia; Perissodactyla; Equidae. The record is from RNAcentral.
CCCAGGAGUCCCCUGCAGAUCCAGAUGUCCUGGCUCCACACUCUGCAGCCCUGACGAGGGCAAGAGGGCGGCCCAGGCCUGCACCCCUCAGUCCUCGAGGGAUGAGGUGCCUGCACUCUCUCAGGGACCCCAUUUUGAAAGCACUUUAAGGCCAGAUCCCCAGGUCUCGGGAGCUUCUGAGCGGGCUCCUGAGCACCCGGGGAAGCUUCCUCUUGCCCUGGCCUCUGAGGGCCGGCAACACAGAAAACAGAAAACCCCUGAAUUUCAAGGUUUACACAGCCAGCAUCCCAUAAAUGUCACCUGCCACCCUCCCCAGCACACACUUGGAGGGCGGAGGUUACAGUGGAACACGACAUCACUUCUUCCGGAGGCUCCAGUGGAUUCGUCAAGAUGGUGAAAUGGGGUCCCACAGUGAUGUGACAGCUGCCCAAGCCAGUUCAGACUUGAACCCUUGACUUCUAGGCUGAUGCUGGAGAGGUUUGGAGAGAUCCAGGCUUCACCCCCACACAUGGCCAGAGACCCCCCAGGCCGGUGCGACAGCCAGUGUUGACAGUCCCUCUCUCCUCUUCACCCAUUCAAAGACAGAUGUGCUGCUCGGGAAAAACUCAGAGAAUCUCCGAGUCCAGAGGCUGGGGUUCCAAUGCCAGCUUUGCCACUUAACUGGUUGUGCAAUGUUGGGCAAGGCCCUGAGCUGCUCCGAGCAUCGGUUUCAUCUGUGAAAUGGGGACAGCAAUACUUGCCCCACCUGACCGGGAAGUGAGGAUCAGCUGAGGUCCUCCGUGAGAAGGUAUUCCACGUGUUGCUGCGGGGCAGACCCUCACAAGUGGCCCUGUACCAAGGAGGAGCUGAGAGUGACUUCGGGAUGCUGGAGAAUGAAAGCCGCCCUGAGCACCUCGUGCCUGCAUACUGAGCACUUAUGGUGUGCCUGGCCUGUGCUGGACACCGCCUUCACCGAGGCAUAAAGGCCCCAUCCCUGCCCUCGUGCAGCCAACCCAUCUGAGCAUCUGAGAGGGGCAAUGCAGCUGAGCACGUGGUCCAGGUGGUUGCAGUCCCGGACAAGGAAGUCAGGGGAGGAUGUCUUAGAAUCCACAAACUGUCAAGUGAGAGAAGCAAGAAUCCUGUGUACAGUAUGAUUCUAUUCAUGUUAAGGUGAUAAACAGGUGAAAGUAAGCAGAUACAGGUGAUGAAACUGGAAGGAAAAGCAGGGAGGUGAUUAACACAAAAACUGGGAUGCUUAGGUGGAGGAGAGGAUUAUGAUCAAGGAGGGUCACUCAGCGGGGUUCCUGGGGGACUGGCAGAGUCCUAUUUCUUGACCUAGGUAUCUAGUUUAUAAAUAUUCCUUAACUGUGUGUAUCUUAAUUCACUGUACUUUAUAUGUUUUUGUUCACAAUUUUAAUACACAGAAAUUGCCAAAGUCACUAUUGGGUGGGACCGAGGCUGAUUUCUCACAGUGCCC